Molecule: non-coding RNA, 5866 nt
Organism: Pelobates cultripes (western spadefoot toad)
Lineage: Eukaryota; Metazoa; Chordata; Amphibia; Anura; Pelobatidae
Source: the annotation of a GenBank genome assembly
CAGAGAAGAAUGCAUUCUCCAUUACUGAGGUAUGUGCUAUAUUUCACAAUAUGUUACAGAAUUGCAUUGUUCAAAACAUAAUCUUUCGAAGUUCGAUUAUAAAUGAAACACGGGAAAUCAAUUGUAUGUCUUUUAGAUCUUCUGCUGUUUUCAUAGAAAAGUAAUAAUGUAGUCAAUGUCAUUCAUUUUCAUAUUGUAUGCCCUCUCAAUAAUGAGGUAAAAGUGUACGCAAAAAAACUUUACAGAUCUCAGUCUAUGCUCAGAUAUUCCUGCUGUAAUUGAAUAUAUUUUGAGGAUAAAUCUUGCCUAGAGGGUUAGUGCUUCACAUAGAUACUCUAUGAUAUUUAAGAUGGAGAAAUAUGCCAAAAUAUUAAUAUUGAGCCAAAUAUUUUGAAAAUUAAUGACUGUGCUGCUUUAUAAAUUCCCCCAAACUAAAAUUAUUAUUAAAAUUGUGAAAUAAUGUUUACUUUCAAAUGUUCAACGUGAUUUUUGUAUUCAUACAAAAAGUUAUUGUAUGAAUACAGUCGUGGAUGACCCAACAGUUUAUGGCUAUUUCCUGCCUUUAACAUCUUUUAAAUUUGAAGUAAGCCCUAUUAUCAUUUGUCUCAACCUCCAUUAUUUAUUUCAGAUUUCAAACUUGCAGACUAUCUUGGUUUGUGCUUGGUAUAGAAGUUUAGUAGAUUUUAGACUGAUGAGCAAGGCUUUCAAAUCAUUUUGUAGCAUUGUCAUGUUAUGAACCUGUGUUGUUUCCAGUCACUAUCGUUUCUCAAUACACCUAUUGCACUGUGCUGUAGAUAGAUAGACAUCCAGACAGACUUACAGAUAGUAAGAUAGAUAGAUAGAUAGAUAGAUAGAUAGAUAGAUACAUAGAUAGAGAAAUAUAGACAGAGAGACAGAUAGACAGAGAGGUAGAAAGAUCGAUCGAUUAGUGGAAGAAGCUGAUGCUUUAUAAAUAAUUAUAUGUAAAUUUAAUAAGCAGAUGAUAGUAUUAUUGAACAUUUAUAUAAUAUAUUUAUAUAAUAUAUAUAUAUAUAUAUGUAUUAUGUGUUACAGUUUUAGAGCGGCUAAACAUCCCUCUUGUUCUUAAACUAUUGAAGCCGUAAACCAAAUUGGUCCAGAAUGGGUUAAAUGAAAGGUUUCUGUGUAUGUAUAUUCUGUGCAGGUGCAAAAGCUAUUUUAUAAAAGUAUUUGCAUAUGUGGCAAAUAUUCCUGAAAACAUAACAGCUAAGUAAUUGUUUAUCUUUUUGCUACAACUGCACUUCCACAAAUUGGUUGUUUUGCACCUGGAACAUUUGGAUUAAGCCAUUAUGAUGAACUGCUGUCCAAAUGUCUAAUAUAUAAAAAGCUAAGAGUGUUCUAUCAACUUUUGUUAGCUCACAGAAUGCCAGAAAAAUUUCACAAAAACUGAUAGACUGAUACAUACAAAAUAUUUUAUAAAUAUACUUUCAUAUUCUGCUAGCCAAUACACAAAUAAUUAUUUUUAAAGAAGGAAAAUCACUACCAUCUCAGUUUGCAUACUGUUACCAGUGAGUGUGUAUCCACUGGUCAAAAUGGGUUAUUUUUUUAUUAUAUUAAUGUAGCCUAGCAACAGAGCUACUGACUAACAUUAACUUUGUCUUCUAAUAAUGAUCUCAUCUUUUGACUGCCGUAGCCUAUCUCUGGAAUGUUGAGUUUUAUACACAGAACUGUAGAACAUGUAUAAAAUGUAAUAAUAAUAAUAAUAAUAAUAAUAAUAGCAAUGUCCAGUAUUUAUUAAGCAAAAACAUUAUCAUGUUUAGAUAAAGUGCCUAAUUUGAGGGGAUCACAAUAUCUGAAGACUCUGAAAUCGAGAGGGGUUUCAAUAAUAUUUAAUAAAACACUAAUAAUAAAAGAAGAUAUUUACUAUGGUAGGUCUGAUUAAUUCCCAGAAAUUUACAAUCUUCAAUAUGUAUGUGCCAAACAAAGGGCAAAUUAAAUUUAUUACUCAGACAUUGAAAGCAAUGAAAAAAAUAGUUAUAGGGACUCUAGUCAUCUGUGGAGACUUUAAUUUGCCUUUGGAUCCAUCUGUAGAUAGAAACUUUAUGGGAGAGAUAAAAUCGGAUACUCAUCUAGUUUAAAAUUCUAAAAAGUUAAAUAAAGUAUUAUUAAAGUAUAAUCUUUAUCACACAUGGAGAACUUUUCAUCCUUUAGAGAGGGACUACUCAUUUUUUUUCACACAGACAUAAAAUGUAUAGUAGAUUGGACUAUAUUUUUGUGGAUGGGCAGGGUAUUUCAAAGAUUAAACAUUCAGAAAUAGGGGUGAUCACUUGGUCUGAUCAUGGUCAGGUUGGAGUAAGUUUGGAUAUUGACCCUCCUGUUAAGAACAAGAGAUCAUGGAGGAUGAACAUAGAAUUAUUAAAAGAUCAGGAAAUACUUAAAAACUUUAAAAAAUGAAACAGCUGCCUUCUUUUUGAGAAAUGACGGAACUGUAAACUCUAAAGAAAUAGUAUGGCUCUCCUAUAAAGAUUACAUAAGAGGGAUAAUGAUAAAAUGGCAGUCAGUUUUAAAGAAUCAGAGAGGUAAAUCACUGAGACUUACAUAGAGAACUGGUGUUAGUGGAUAGAGAAAAUAAAAAAUCCCCAUCUGAUCUAAAGAUAAAUAAAAUUUGAGAAUUACAAUCACAAAUAAAAAGAAUUCAGCAACUAUUGGUGGAUAAAUCUUUAUGGGCUGCCCAACAAAGAUCAUACCAUGGCCAAAAUAGAGCAGGGAAAUUGAUGACUAGUAAGUUGAAACAAAAAUUAAACAAUGAUAGAAUAAACAAGUUAUUAUGUAACAUUAUUAUUAUGUAAAAAACUGUUUGUUAAACCUGAUGAUAUUGCCGCAUGUUUUGAGAAAUAUUACUAUGAUCUUUAUAAUUUGAAUUCCUCUUAUAUAGAUGUUAGUGGGAAAAAAAUGAGAAUUGUGGAAUUUUUCGAUAAGAUCUAUCUUCCCAGUGUUUCUCAAACAGAGUUGUAUAAAAUUAAAUGAAGAUAUAACCGAACAGGAAGUUAAAUGGGCAAGCAAUCUCUAAAUUGAGAGUUGGCUCAGGUCCUCGAACUGAUGGCCUAGUUAAUUAAUUUUAUUCACUUUGUCAAGAGGAGAUCUCCAGCUAUCUGUGUCAAAAUUUAAACGAAAUUAAGGAGGCAGGUCAAGCACAUCCAGAAAUGUUGGAAGCUCAAAUAACAAUCCCCAAAACAAACAAUCCAACCCCUGAAUUUAGGGACUUUAGACCUAUUUCCCUACUAAACGUGGAUAUUAAGAUCUAUGCUAAAAUUUUAGUGGAAAGAUUGAAUCAAUACAUCCACAAUCUGAUCAAUUUUGAUCAAACAGGUUUUAUCCAGGAGAGACAGGGUUCAGAUAACAUCAGGAAACUCUUAAAUUUAAUCUUAGUGGUUAAAAAUAAAAAAUACAGCAGCAGUGUUUGUAAGACUUGAUGAUGAGAAAGCAUUUGACAGGGUGGAUUGGGACUUUAUGUUCCACAACCUGUCAAAAUUUGGCCGAGGUGACUUUACCUCUAAGGCGAUAGCUGCUCUAUAUACAUCUCCAACUGCGUGAGUUAUGGGUCAAAACUUUCGGUCUGAAAGGUUUGUCAUCUCAAAUGGUACUAGGCAAGGUUGCCCACUGUCUCCACUAAUUUUUGCUUUGAUCAUUGAGCCACUGGCAUGUGCGAUAAUGGAAUCUCUUGAUAUAACAGGAAUUGUUGUAAAUCGAAAAUCUCAUGUAAUCUCUCUUUAUGCUGAUGAUGUAAUAAUAACAAUAGACAAUCUGUAAAAAUCCCCAAUAGUCCUGCAAGAGGUUAUAACUGAAUAUAGUGAAAUAUCUAACUAUAAAUAAAAUGUAAAAAUAUCGGAGGCGGUGUCUGAAUAUGGGGCGGUCUGAGAAAAAACUUUCUUAGCCAACUAUAUCAGUUUAAUUGGCAAUAUUCAAUAACUCAUCUAGGAAUUAAACAGAAAUGUGCUGAAAUGGAAAAAACUAUAACAGCUAACUAACAAUUAGUUUAUUCUAAUAUAAUGCAAGUGCUGGCUACAUGGAAUAUUCUUAAUAUAUCCUGGUCAGGUAGAAUAGCAGCGAUCAAGAUGACUAUAUUACCUAAGAUCACCUGUAUUAUGCGAUGCAGACCCUGGCUGUGUCCCGUUUAUUUGUUGAAUAACGGGCGAUAGAUGUAUUCAUCCAUCAGAAUAAAGGAAUGCGAAUUAAGAUACCAAUUUUGGCCAAAAAUUCUGGGGGUGUGAUUUCAUAUCCAGACAAUCAAAAAUAUCAGAAAGCCUCCCUUCUGGCACAAAUACUGAGAUGGGAGGAAGAAGCACAAAACAAUAAUUGGGUAUCGAUAGAAGUCUUUUUUUUUUUUUAAAGAAACACAUCUGAACUCAACUCUUUUUUAGAAAUGACUUAUCCAGUGGUCUAGUGCAUAGUAAAACUUCACCAUUAUGGAACUUUCUCAAAGGCUGGCGGAAUUUGAAUCGUAAAUAUUCCCUGAUUCCAUUUCCAAGUCCGAUUACGCCUAUUUUAUGGAUUCAGGAAAAGAUUAAUUCUCCUUUGUUAGAGAUAUUACGAAAGGUUGGAUGUAGAUGCUUAAGAGACUUAUAUGUUAAUAAUGAAUUCCUUCCAUUUGACUAUAUUCAGUCUAAUUUUAAUAUUCCUGCUAACAUGUGGUUAGAAUAUAAUAGGUUGAAAUCGAGUAUUUACUCAUCGACUUAUCGCCUACAAGAGUUUAGACAGUUGCCUUUUGAAAAAAUAAUAUGUUCAACAAAUAGGAAGCAUAUGCUUUCGAAAUGUUUUAGUCUUUUGAGAGAUGGGGACUUGAACACCAAAUGUCUAAAUAUGAAAAUUUGUGAAGAAGAAUUAAAUCAAUCCUGGCCCAUGGAAAUAUGGUCAGCUGCCUCCGUUUUAACUGAUAGAUUAAUUAAACACGUCUCAUACAGGGAGUUAUACUUUAAAAUUGUAAACAGAUGGUAUGUAACGCCGCUUAAACUUUGGCAAAUGAAGAAAGAUGACACUUCUAAAUUUUGUUGGAGAGGCUGUAACCAAGUAGGCUCUGCGAUACAUAUGUGGUGGUUUUGCCCUCAUAUACAAAAGUAUUGGAAGGAGGUAAAAUAUGGUGUCUCUUGUAUAAUUGGUGAAAAGAUUUAUUUAACCCCAGAACUGGCUCUUUCACUUCAUACCUAGUUACCGCACAAAAGAACUAAAAUCCCUCCUGCUCGGUAUUUUUUCAAUAUCGAAAUGGUUGAUUGUUGUAAAUUGGAAAGCAGGAAGGUUGCCAAAAUGGUCAGAUGUGGAAAGGGUGAUGCAGAGAAACAGAGCAUUAGAAAGAGAGGAUGGAUACUCAGGGGUUUAUAUAGCCCCGAAGUAUAGGUGGGCCCUUUGGGACGAUUAUUGUUUAUCCCAUGGACAGAAUUCUUUACAGGUUUUUUUCUCCUCAUCAGCUCAUUUCCCUGUGGAAUCUCGGAACAAUGUAUGUGAUAUGUGUGUGUUUGUUAAACAUGGGUAUUGAGAUUUUUGAAUGGUCUUAUUCCAUCUUCCCGGGUUAUCUAUUAUACAGUUUUUGGCAUAUCUCCUCAUUCCUAUUUAUAUAGAGUGACUCUAUCUGCCGUACAGAAGAGGUUUAUUUGUUAUAGGGGCCUUUUUUUUUUUUUCAGGAUAUGGACGUAGAUGACGAUCAAUAUGUGGAGUUGGAGUACGCCUCUAAUAUAGGAUGAUGGGGAGAUUGGAGAUGAGAGUUGGGUAGAACACCCCCUGGGCAGAUGGGUGAAGGGCACAAGUUAUUAUCUGUAUUUUGGCUUAUUAGCAUACUAAGAUAUGUUUUAUUGUUUGAUAGACUGUUGUAGGUUUCUUCUAUGUUUUAUGUGUAACCAGUUUCAAACAGGUCGAG